UACGGGGGGGGCAAGCGUUGUUCGGAUUUACUGGGCGUAAAGGGCGCGUAGGCGGCGCAACAAGUCACUUGUGAAAUCUCCGGGCUUAACCCGGAGCGGCCAAGUGAUAUUGUCGUGCUAGAGUGCGGAAGGGGCUACUGGAAUUCUCGGUGUAGCGGUGAAAUGCGUAGAUAUCGAGAGGAACACCUGCGGCGAAGGCGGGUAGCUGGGCCGACACUGACGCUGAGGCGCGAAAGCCAGGGGAGCGAACGGG
This 253-nucleotide ribosomal RNA is filed under the name uncultured bacterium. Its description in RNAcentral is "partial 16S ribosomal RNA". It matches the Rfam family "Bacterial small subunit ribosomal RNA", at positions 524 to 776 of the family's 1533-position model. The record is from RNAcentral.